RNAcentral lists this ribosomal RNA (497 nucleotides) under uncultured bacterium. Its description in RNAcentral is "partial 16S ribosomal RNA". It matches the Rfam family "Bacterial small subunit ribosomal RNA", at positions 28 to 507 of the family's 1533-position model. The record is from RNAcentral.
GAUGAACGCUGGCGGCGUGCCUAAUACAUGCAAGUCGAGCGAACAGACGAGGAGCUUGCUCCUCUGACGUUAGCGGCGGACGGGUGAGUAACACGUGGAUAACCUACCUAUAAGACUGGGAUAACUUCGGGAAACCGGAGCUAAUACCGGAUAACAUGUUGAACCGCAUGGUUCAACAGUGAAAGACGGUCUUGCUGUCGCUUAUAGAUGGAUCCGCGCCGCAUUAGCUAGUUGGUAAGGUAACGGCUUACCAAGGCAACGAUGCGUAGCCGACCUGAGAGGGUGAUCGGCCACACUGGAACUGAGACACGGUCCAGACUCCUACGGGAGGCAGCAGUAGGGAAUCUUCCGCAAUGGGCGAAAGCCUGACGGAGCAACGCCGCGUGAGUGAAGAAGGUCUUCGGAUCGUAAAACCCUGUUAUUAGGGAAGAACAAAUGUGUAAGUAACUAUGCACGUCUUGACGGUACCUAAUCAGAAAGCCACGGCUAACUACGUG